RNAcentral lists this ribosomal RNA (178 nucleotides) under uncultured Banisveld landfill bacterium BVA16. Its description in RNAcentral is "partial 16S ribosomal RNA". It matches the Rfam family "Bacterial small subunit ribosomal RNA", at positions 351 to 519 of the family's 1533-position model. The record is from RNAcentral.
GCAGUCGAGGAUCUUUUGCAAUGGGCGAAAGCCUGACAAUGCGACGCCGCGUGAGGGAUGAAGGUUUUCGGAUCGUAAACCUCUGUCUUAGGGGGAUGAUGGCUUUUUGGGUUAAUAACCUAAAAGGUUGACAGUACCCUUGAAGGAAGCCACGGCUAACUCCGUGCCAGCAGCCGCG